CCGGCCAAGGGACUUUAGCAUGGGAAAUUCGGCUAGGGUAGUGCUUGUAUAAAUUUGGCACAAGGGGGUAAGUGAGCCGUUUUCUGAUCACUCUUCCUCUCCUUUUAUUUUUAUUUUUCUCUCCAUUUGUUAUUCUUUUCUUCUUCUAUUCCCCAUAGCCGAAUCCUUCAACCACCUUACUCUAUAUCACCUUCCUUCCAUUAUUUUUAAAACUAUAGCCGAUUGCCUUAAAUCCUAAAAUCUCGAAAACUUGAUUCCUCUUAUAUCGAUUUCCCUAGACAAUUCUCUUAAUUUUUCUCAUCAUCUUUGGCUGAUUCUCUUAUCCUCUAAACCUCAAGUUUCUG
This 344-nucleotide long non-coding RNA is filed under the name Gossypium barbadense (sea-island cotton). RNAcentral describes it as "long non-coding RNA (GBAR_LNC000590)". Lineage: Eukaryota; Viridiplantae; Streptophyta; Magnoliopsida; Malvales; Malvaceae. The record is from RNAcentral.